Molecule: ribosomal RNA, 402 nt
Filed under: uncultured bacterium
Lineage: Bacteria
Description: bacterial SSU rRNA
Rfam family: Bacterial small subunit ribosomal RNA
Source: RNAcentral
GGGGAAUAUUGCGCAAUGGGGGAAACCCUGACGCAGCAAUACCGCGUGAGUGAAGAAGGUUUUCGGAUCGUAAAACUCUUUUAUUGGGGAAGAAGAAGUGACGGUACCCAAUGAAGAAGUCCCGGCUAACUACGUGCCAGCAGCCGCGGUAAUACGUAGGGGACAAGCGUUGUCCGGAAUCACUGGGCGUAAAGGGCGCGUAGGCGGUUUUAUAAGUCAGAUGUGAAAGGUACCGGCUCAACCGGUGACGUGCAUUUGAAACUGUAAGACUUGAGUACUGGAGAGGCAAGUGGAAUUCCUAGUGUAGCGGUGAAAUGCGUAGAUAUUAGGAGGAACACCGGUGGCGAAGGCGGCUUGCUGGACAGAGACUGACGCUGAGGUGCGAAAGCGUGGGGAGCGAAC